AAGCUGUUCUUUGCAUUUCAGGUCUAUGUUUCAAACAUAUACUCCAUAUACAAGUGAUAGAAUGUUAAUUAUUGGCCUUCUUGUGCCUUUAAACCUAAUACAACUUUCAACAACGGAUCUCUUGGCUCUCGCAUCGAUGAAGAACGCAGCGAAAUGCGAUAAGUAAUGUGAAUUGCAGAAUUCAGUGAAUCAUCGAAUCUUUGAACGCACCUUGCGCUCCUUGGUAUUCCGAGGAGCAUGCCUGUUUGAGUGUCGUGAAAUUCUCAACCUUUCUGGCUUUUAUGAGCUGGGUCAGGCUUGGAUUUUGGAAGCUGCUGGCUUCUUUUGAGAUCAGCUCUUCUUAAAUGUAUUAGCAAAAUUCUUGCUGGACCAUCUUUGGUAUGAUAAUUAUCUAUACCAUUGAGACAUCACAGCUUCCACUUCAGCGGAUUUCAGGCUCUGCUUGGAUUUAUUUCCAAGUGUUCGAUUCAACCGCUCUGAAGCACCAGCCUAGGCACAGACAUUAACUUGUUUGAUGGUGUUGAAUACUUCAGGUUGACGAAGCGAGGUGUUUCCUUAGGGAAGCGCUCACGAGAGCAAGCAGGGUCAGAGCAUCGUCAAGAUGUACUGAUAU
Molecule: ribosomal RNA, 613 nt
Filed under: Entoloma sinuatum
Lineage: Eukaryota; Fungi; Basidiomycota; Agaricomycetes; Agaricales; Entolomataceae
Description: eukaryotic LSU rRNA
Rfam family: 5.8S ribosomal RNA (bases 102-255)
Source: RNAcentral